Molecule: non-coding RNA, 126 nt
Organism: Podarcis lilfordi (Lilford's wall lizard)
Lineage: Eukaryota; Metazoa; Chordata; Lepidosauria; Squamata; Lacertidae
Source: the annotation of a GenBank genome assembly
CUUCCAGUAGCACCUUAGAGACCAACUAAGUUUGUUAUUGGUAUGAGCUUUCAUGUGCAUGCACACUUCUUCAGAUACACUCAUACCAAUAACAAACUUAGUUGGUCUCUAAGGUGCUACUGGAAG